AUAAGAACUUGUUAUCCUCUAGUAGGCCGGGGGAAGGCAUCCUUCCGCGAAUAAUGGGUCAGCCUUCACUCUUCUACUCCUGAUACUCCUUUUUGCUUCGCAUCUAAUGAAUGUUCACUCGAUGGCUCCGUCAAAAUCCAAUAUUUCCCGGUCCGCGGUAAACGUUCGCCGUCGGACGUGAUGCGAUUCUUGCAGAGGGUUCGAUGCUGGGAGUAUCGUCAGCUCCCCUCCAUCGUCCACGUCACGCGCCCCACCCGCCCCAACAAAGCUCGGCGCCUUGGCUACAAGGCCAGCCGGGCUUCUUCUUCUUUUGGAUUCCAUAGCUUUUUUUCUUCUUAUUUUUAUUCAUGUUGGAUCAUAUCUGGCUCUUUUUCCCUUAAUAUUGAUUGUUAUUUAAGUCUUUUAUCACUACGAAUUUAUUCUAGUUCUGAUUUGGUUAGGACCAUUGUGAGUUCCUGUUUGAGUAGCUGUGCCAUAGGAUGAACCUGGUAACUAUUAUAACUGCGUCAAGAAGAAAGGUGAUAAUGUUCUCAGGUGAUCCUGAUUCCUAAGGUCUAUUAUCUUCAGGACUAUUACAUGCUACCAAACCACCUCAACAUUUGUCUUGCAUAAUAACGGAAUAGGUGAUAAUGUUUUUAUAUCAACCAGCUGAUGAUGUUCUAAGGUGAUUCUGAUUCCUAAGGUAUAUUAUAUUCAGGUUUAUUACUGGCCAUUGAAAUUUGAACCACUUCAACAUUUGCUUUGCAUAACAAGGGAAUAGGUGAUAAUGUUUUAAUAUCAGCUAACUGAUCUUGCAAACACAAUACAUCAAUUUGAUUAGUGAAUCUAUAGAAACUAGAUUGUUUAGGUUGGUUUUUUACCCUGUUUAUUAUGUGACAUUUGGAGCAAUUUUUUGUUUAUUUUGAUAGGCUAUUAUGCAGAAGAAAAACGUGAUUCUUUUAUCAGCAGAUAUGGUAUGAAGUGCUGCAUGUUAUUCUAAAUUUUGAUCAAAUUGUUAAUCAGAGAUAUGUGCAAUGAUUCAGGCUUCAUCUUUAUGGAGUUAAUCCUCCUGUUGCACACAUGUGAACUGAUAGGUAAACUGCAACUAAGGACGUAAUUGGUUCAACUUUUAAUUACCUUCAUGAAGGUUGAUCAUGGAGCUUAUAAAGUUAGAUCACAGAAUGGUCUUAUAUGAUUUAAGUUUAUGACAAUCUAAGCUGUCUUGAAGAUUUACUUAACUGAUGGUUCUUUUUGCACCAAAAAAUGCAUCACUUUGUGUUUGCUGCUUCAUCAGACAAAGUUGAACCAACAUUCACCCCUUCCUGCCCCCUCUUUGCACUCUUUUUAUCAUAAAAAACUUUUGGCAAGUUUGUUAAGGAGCCAACAUUAAAAUUUGUUGUUUCCUCAGAUUCAUGUCUGUAAGAUGAAUUUGUUCCUUCCUCUCUUUCUUGCCUUUCUUUAUUACAUCCGUUCCUACAGGAUUCAGCCUUAAAUAUAUCUGAGGUUUCAAGCUACUUUCUUUUUUUGAAUCAUGCAUUUAUCCUUUAAUACAGGGAUAUGUAAUCUAUCAUGUUCGUGUGAGAUGAGGAGGCCGAAAGAGGCUUGUUCCCAAAGGUAUUGUUUAUGGGAAGCCUAAGUUCCAAAGAAACAAGAGGUCUGUAGCUGAGGAGAGAGGAGGAUGGAAGUUGGGAGGUCUGAGGGUUCUGCACUCAUACUGGGUCAACGAGGAUUCAACCUACAAAUAUUUUCGAAGACAUCCAAGUUGAUGCUGCUCAUAAUGCAAUUUGCAAUGACCCCAGGAUCAAUUGGAUCUGCAAGAGUGUUCACAAGCACCGCGAGCUUCAUGGUCUUACUUCGGCCGGCAAGAAGUACAGAGGUCUCUGAGGGAAAGGUCAUGUGCAUCACAAGGCCAGGCCAUCUGGCAGAGCAACUUGGAAGAGGAACCAGACUCUAAGAUUGUAGUUUUUUGCUGAAAUGUUCAGACUCCAGGUUUUCUGACGGAUUUGAAGGUGGUUUGUAUCAGUAUCAUUUUUGUAGAUUGACCCCUCUUCAUUCUGAGAUUGUAGAAUUUGUGAUGAUGAUUUGGUGCUUUACAAGAUGUUGCUUGUUCUUGGGAAGAAAACAACCAUAGUCUGGGUCUGGAAAUUUCACAAUAUCCAAAUGUCUUUUUA
Elaeis guineensis (African oil palm) is the source of this 2150-nucleotide long non-coding RNA. RefSeq lists it as uncharacterized. The record is from RefSeq and is a predicted model, not a curated record. NCBI's taxonomy places the organism in Eukaryota, Viridiplantae, Streptophyta, Magnoliopsida, Arecales, Arecaceae.